AUGAAAUUCUGGGUUUCAGAUAAGUCACA
Molecule: non-coding RNA, 29 nt
Filed under: Mus musculus (house mouse)
Lineage: Eukaryota; Metazoa; Chordata; Mammalia; Rodentia; Muridae
Source: RNAcentral